This 1191-nucleotide long non-coding RNA is filed under the name Apteryx haastii (Great spotted kiwi). RNAcentral describes it as "lncRNA (ENSAHAG00000012271.1)". Lineage: Eukaryota; Metazoa; Chordata; Aves; Apterygiformes; Apterygidae. The record is from RNAcentral.
AUGCUCACAAACCAAAACCGGGAAGGUUCUGGGGAGUUCAGAAAAGUAUCAUCUAAUAAUAAAAUCACUUUAUCCCAGGAAAGCAACCACACAGCAAAGAGAUGGACGCCACUCGCAGGAAAAUUAAGACUUCUGCAGUUCCGGGUGGAGGGGGGAGACACGGACCCCCUCGUGUUUCACAGCCUCCGGGUACCCCCCGCCCGGCCCGGCCCACCCCGGCGGGGCCCGCCCGACCCGUUCCCCCGAGCGGCGGGGAAGGAGGCGCCGCCGGCCCUGCCCUCACCGCCGCAGCAAGGCCGUGCCGGCGGCGGGCAGCGCCCGUGGCCCCGCGCAAGGACUCGCCGUGGCAGCGCGGGCGCGACGCGCUCUCCCUCCCUCGGCGGCGCUGCCCUUGGCGAAGAUGGCAGGCGAGCGCGAGCCUUCCCGGCUGCCUCGGGUCCCGCCCCCAGCCAACAUGGCGGCAGGGCAGUCACUCAGCAGCAGCGGGCGAGCACCGCUGAUGUCAGAGGGGGAGCGCGGCGGGGCGCGCCCGCCGACGGGCAGGCCGGGACCCGCUUCCGGGCUCUCCCGCGUUUCACGCACAUGCCGUUUCACCCCCGGGGCGCUAAGGCGACAGCAGAGCCGUGCCGCGGCGCGCCCUCCCGCCGCUGGCGCGUCCGCAGAGAGCGCAGAAGCGGCGUGCUCCUGCCGCGCAGUCCCGGCGGCGCUGCCUCGCCGCGGGCAGGUGGGGGGCGCGCUGGGACGGGCGCUUCUCCUGCCCGUAACAAAGAUGGCCACCCGCGCCCUCUGCCCCGAGCCCUAGCCCGGCCGGUCCAGGCAGUUGCGGGAGGCUCCUCCGGGGCCGCUCUUSGCCGGCCGGGGCCGCCGCUCCCCGCGCACGGAGCGGUGGUCUCUGCGCGCUGCCCGCCGCCGCAUGGCCGAGGCUGCCGGCUCCCCGCGUCGCCCCGCCGCCGCGGGCAGGUGCGUGGCGAGAGCCCGCUGGCGGCUGCUCGGACAGGUAGGGGGAGCCCGCGGCAGCGGAGCGGGGGGGCUCUGCCUGGAGGCGCUGUCGUCCCGCCUCCCCCCGUCCCGUUGCGACGCGAGGGGAGGCGGCCGGGUCGGGUGGCCGCCGGCCCGGAGGGAGGCGGCGGUUGGGGGCAACCGUCUUCCGCCCCUCCGCGCGCGGCUGGCGCGCCCUCGAGCCGGCGCUAA